This 1681-nucleotide long non-coding RNA is filed under the name Fragaria vesca (wild strawberry). Its description in RNAcentral is "long non-coding RNA (FVES_LNC004461)". The record is from RNAcentral. Lineage: Eukaryota; Viridiplantae; Streptophyta; Magnoliopsida; Rosales; Rosaceae.
ACUCGAAAAUCACAAUCAGAUUAGUAUAUACGAGUUUUGCUUGAUUUUAGUUAAAAUCCAUUGCUAUAACACACGAUAUUUUCGUCAAAAUUGAAUAUUCUUAUUUUUCAACCAAACAUUUCCUGUUAUCAAAUAAUGAUAAAUAAGUACAUCUCAAACUGACGGAACUCGAAAAUCUCAAUCGGAUUAGUGUAUACGAGUUUCGCUUGAUUUUAUUUAAAAUCCCUUGCUAUAGCACACGAUUUUUUUUGUAAAAUAGAAUAUUCUUAUUUCCAACCAAACUUUUUUUGUUAUCAAAUAAUGAUAAAUAAGUACUUCUCGAACUGACGAUAGUCGAAAACCUCAAUCGGAUUAGUGUAUACGAGUUUUGCUUGAUUUCAGUUAAAAUCCCUUACUUGACGAGUCUAGGUGGUCCCUACACGGGUCUAAGAGGGCCUUGGCAAGUCAAAGCAGCCUUUUGGAGGCCCACGGUAGGUCAAGACGUCCCCUUGGCGGCUCUAAGUUUGUCUCGGCAACCCUUAAGUGGGUCUAGGCGGCCCUUAAUGGGUCCAGCUUGUCCCUACGUAGGUCUAGGAGGGCAAAGGUAGUCCCUUGGUAGGUCAAGACGGGUAAAAGCGGCCCCUUGGCAUCUCAAGGCGGUCCCGUAGCAGGUUAAGGUGGGUUAAAGCGAUCAAGGCAGUCCCUUGACAGGUCUAGAUGGGUCAAGGCAGCCCAAAACGGGUCUAGGCUACCCCAAAAUGGGUCUAGGCGGUCUCUACGCGGGUUCUAAGUAGGUCUAGGUUGGUCUUGACGACCCUAGGCGGGUUAAGGCACCGCCUUGGCGGCCCGUAGUGGGUCUAGGUGGUACCUUGGUAGGUCAAUAGGGGAUAAAGUGGCCCAUUGGCAUGUCAAGGCGGGUCAAGAUGGCCAAGACGGUCUCUUGGCAGGUUAAGGUGGGUCAAAGCCGCCCUAAGCGGGUCUCGGUUGCCCCUUGGUGGGUCUAGGUGCUCCCUACGUGGGUCUAGGAGGGCCAAGACGGUCCCUUGUCAGGUCAAUGCAGGUCAAAGCGGCCCUUGGCAUGUCAACCCGGUCCCUUAGCAGGUUAAGGCAGGUCAAAGCGGCGCCUUGGCAUGUCAAGGCGGGUCAAGGCGGUCCAUUGGCAGAUCAAGGCAGUGUUAGGUGGGUCUCGGCUGCCCCUUUUCGGGUCUAGGCUACCCCUAAGCUGGUCUAGGAGGUCCAUACUGAUAAGACGUAUUUGCACACGCAUCAAUUAACCCUGUCAACAAAUCAAUCAUAGUAUAAAGCAAGCAGGGAUCGUUCUAAACCGGGGAUCCAACUACAGGGUAGAUCCAUCUAAUCUAAUAAAAAUGUCGAAAUAAGCAUAUAGGGUUUAAAGGUUUUGAUGAUUUUGGAAUAAACAUUGAAAAUAAAUCCUAAAUUACUUCUAUACAUAUUUACAUGUGAUCAACCAACAAUCAUGCAAACUCAAACCAAACAACCAUGCAAGAACAAAGAAGACAAUCUCUAAUCUCAUUUAAGUCUAUACCGUGAGCAAUUAUACAACCUAAAUUUGAUAUGCACAUAAGUUCCUACGUGGUUCCUAUGACAUAGACCAACUUAGAAUUAGACUACGGGUUUCAUUCAACAUCGCGACACAAACAAGCUCGGCUACGUGCUCUACUUAUUGGUCACACACAUAAAC